Long non-coding RNA from Mytilus californianus (California mussel), 2038 nucleotides. RefSeq lists it as uncharacterized. The transcript is spliced from 3 exons. Lineage: Eukaryota; Metazoa; Mollusca; Bivalvia; Mytilida; Mytilidae. The record is from RefSeq and is a predicted model, not a curated record.
CAAAUAUAUAUUAUAGUGAAGGAAAAGAUUUCAGGAGGUAAGCCAAACAUAUAACUCUGAAAGGACAGCUUGAGGGAGGUAAGACAAAUAUAUUAUAGUGAAGGGAAAGCUUUCAGGAGGUAAGCCAAACAUAUAACUCUGAAAGGACAGCUUGAGGGAGGUUAGACAAAUAUAUUAUAGUGAAGGGAAAGCUUUCAGGAGAUAAGACAAGCAUAUAACUCUGAAAGGACAGCUUGAGGGAGGUAAGAGAAACAUAUGAUGCUGAAAGGAAAUCUUGGGGGAGACAAGUUAAACAUUUAAUGUUGAAGGGAAAGCUUGGGGGAGGAAAGAAAAACAUAUAAAGCCAAAGGGAAAGCUUUCAAGAGGUAAGACUAAUAUAUCAUGCUGAAGGGAAAGCUUUGGGGAGACGAGACAAACAUAUAAUGUUGAAGGGAAAUCUUGGGGGAGGUAAGACAAACAUAAAAUGCUGAAGGGAAAUCUUGGGGAGACAAGAAAAACACAUAAUGCCAAAGGGAAAGCUUUCAGGAGGUAAGAUAGAUAUAAUGCUGAAGGGAAAGCUUAUGGGAGGUAAGAAAAACAUAUAAUGUUGACAGGAAAGCUUUCAGGAGGUAAGACAAACAUAUAAUGCUGAAGGAAAAGCUUGGGGAAGGUAAGACAAAUAUAUGAUAUUAAAGGGAAGACAUGGGAGAUGUAAGACAAACAAAAUAUUGAAGGGAAAUCUUUGGGAAGGUAAGACUAAUAUAUAAUGUUGAAGGGAAAUCUUUUGGAAGGUAAGACAAAUAUAUAAUGUUGAAGGGAAAUCUAUGGGGAGGUAAGACUAAUAUAUAAUGUUGAAGGGAAAUCUUUGGGAAGGUAAGACAAACAUAUGAUGUUGAAGGGAAGGCUUGGGAGAGUUAAUACAAACAUAUUAUGCUGAAGGAAAAGCUUGGGGGAGUUUAAGACAAACAUAUGAUGUGGAAGGGAAAGCUUGGGGGAGGUAAGACAAACAUAAAAUGCUGAAGGGAAAUCUGGGGCGACAAGAAAAACACAUAAUGCCAAAGGGAAAGCUUUGAGGAGGUAAGAUAAAUAUAAUGCUGAAGGGAAAGCUUAGGGGAGGUAAGACAAACAUAUAAUGUUGACGGGAAAGCUUUCAGGAGGUAAGACAAACAUAUAAUGCUGAAGGGAAAUCUCAGGUGAGGUAAGACAAACAUAUAAUGCCAAAGGGAAAGCUUUCAGGAGGUAAGACAAACAGAUGACGUUGAAGGGAAGGCUUUGGAAAAUUAUGCAAUCAUAUAAUGCUGAAGGAAAAGCUUGGGGGAGGUAAGACAAAUAUAUGAUAUUAAAGGGAAGACAUAGGAGAUGUAAGACAAACAAAAUAUUGAAGGGAAAUCUUUGGGAAGGUAAGACUAAUAUAUAAUGUUGAAGGGAAAUCUUUUGGAAGGUAAGACAAUUAUAUAAUGUUGAAGGGAAAUCUUUGGUGAGGUAGGAAACAUAUAUAAUGUUGAAGAGAAAGCUUUCAGGUGGUAAGACAUACAUCUUAUGUUGAAGGGAAAUCUUGGGGAGGUAAGCCAAACACAUAAUGCUGAAGGGAAAUCUCUGGUGAGGUGAUACAAACAUAUAAUGCAAAGGGAAAGCUUUUAGGAGGUAAGACAAACAUAUAAUGUUGAAGGGAAGGCUUGGGAGAGUAAAUACAAACAUAUAAUGCUGAAGGAAAAGCUUGGGGGAGUUUAAGACAAACAUAUGAUGUUGAAGGGAAAGCUCGGGAGAUGUAAGACAAAUAAUAUUGAAGGGAAAGCUGGGGGAGUUUAAGACAAACAUCUUAAAUACAUAAGAUCUGAAGUAUCUGUCUGUCAUAUGUCCUUUGUCUUGAAAAAGUGUAAUUAUUACAUACACUUCAAUGAUAGAUAAGUGUAUGUACAGUAUUUCAAGCUCUAAAGCAUCCUGAAUCUUUGAUAUUCUCUGUUAAAUUAUUCACUACUCUCCUCUGCUAUUUUUGUUCCCAUGUUAUGUUUCAUGGUAUCUAAAACUCCUUUGUUGCAUUGUUAUAUUUCAUGUUAUC